RNAcentral lists this ribosomal RNA (593 nucleotides) under uncultured bacterium. Its description in RNAcentral is "bacterial SSU rRNA". It matches the Rfam family "Bacterial small subunit ribosomal RNA", at positions 10 to 652 of the family's 1533-position model. The record is from RNAcentral.
AGUUUGAUCCUGGCUCAGAACGAACGCUGGCGGCAGGCUUAACACAUGCAAGUCGAACGCCCCGCAAGGGGAGUGGCAGACGGGUGAGUAACGCGUGGGAACGUGCCCUUCGCUUCGGAAUAGCCCCGGGAAACUGGGUGUAAUACCGAAUACGCCGUAUUGGGAAAGAUUUAUCGGCGAAGGAUCGGCCCGCGUUGGAUUAGCUAGUUGGCGGUGUAAGAGACCACCAAGGCGACGAUCCAUAGCUGGUCUGAGAGGAUGAUCAGCCACAUUGGGACUGAGACACGGCCCAAACUCCUACGGGAGGCAGCAGUGGGGAAUCUUGGACAAUGGGCGCAAGCCUGAUCCAGCCAUGCCGCGUGAGUGAAGAAGGCCUUAGAGUUGUAAAACUCUUUCGCCGGUGAAGAUAAUGACGGUAACCGGAGAAGAAGCCCCGGCUAACUUCGUGCCAGCAGCCGCGGUAAUACGAAGGGGGCUAGCGUUGCUCGGAAUUACUGGGCGUAAAGCGCACGUAGGCGGAUCUGUAAGUAGGAGGUGAAAUCCCAAGGCUCAACCUUGGAACUGCCUUCUAGACUGCAGGUCUUGAGGUCAGG